Molecule: long non-coding RNA, 677 nt
Filed under: Homo sapiens (human)
Lineage: Eukaryota; Metazoa; Chordata; Mammalia; Primates; Hominidae
Description: HSALNT0308471
Source: RNAcentral
GAUUUAACCCAGCCGCAGGAGAGCUCCUAUGGGGGCACGUCCAGAAAAGCCCCAAAGGGGGAUUGGAGGAAAGCACGUGGAUCUACACUCUUUCCAGCACCGGCAAAGGUCAGGCAAUAAUCGAAUCACUCUUCCUCGGCUUUCAUUUCAUCAACUGCACUGAUGAGGAUGGGGGAGGGGGCAUGAAGGAAGGGAGCGGUAGGAAGUGGUCCAUCCCUCCUCCUAAGGAGGGGGAGCAGGCUGGACAAGGACAUUCCAUUCUAUUUGCUACUCUCACAGAAGCCUUGGGAAAGAACAAAGAAAGAAUGAAAAGGAGACAGAUAUGCUGGGCACGCGCAUUCACAAAUACACGUGCUCACGCUCACACACACCCCCAUUUGCAAUAGGGAGUCAAUAAGAGCAGAAAUAAUUUAUGCUGAGGCUUCAAACAGCAACCUAGAAGUGUAAAGUGGGGAGGGGAAAAAUCCAUCGCAUUUCUAAAUGUUUGGCUGCCCUCUAAGACCUCAAGUUGUACCUAUGCCUGAAACAGGUAGAAACACAGUAUCACCUGAAAGUGUCAAAUGGGGAAACCGAGGCUCAGAAAAACCAAGUGGAUCCUCUCAAAAACACAGAACAAAUAUUCAGGGAAGUGGCGACUAAAUCUCAAGUCUGUGUCACGAGCUGGUGUUCCUGAGACC